AUUUUUUAUAGCUGAAGUUGAUGGAUUGAUUGUUUAUGCAAUGAGAAAGUUCUAAACAGCAAAAAAACACUGUAUUUGCAUAUUUAUAGAGCAAUUAUUUUCUGCAAUUGUUUCCGAUAUAAAGGUAUUUUUCUUAUAGCUGAAAUUGAGCAAUGAGAAAGUUCUAAACAGCAAAAAAACACUGUAUUUGCAUAUUUAUAAAGUAAUUAUUUCCUGCAAUUGUUUCCGAUAUAAAGGUAUUUUUCUUAUAGCUGAAACUGAGCAAUGAGAAAGUUCUGAACAGCAAAAAAACACUGUAUUUGCAUAUUUAUAUAGCAAUUAUUUUCUGCAAUAGUCUCCGAUAUAAAGGAAUUUUUCUUAUAGCUGAAGUUAAGCAAUGAGGAAAUUCUAAACAGCAAAAAAACACUGUAUUUGCAUAUUUAUAUAGCAAUUAUUUUCUGCAAUAGUCUCCGAUAUGAAGGUAUUUUUCUUAUAGCUGAAGUUGAGCAAUGAGAAAGUUCUAAACAGCAAAAAAACACUGUAUUUGCAUAUUUAUAAAGUAAUUAUUUUCUGCAAUUGUUUCCGAUAUGAAGGUAUUUUUCUUAUAGCUGAAGUUGUGCAAUGACAAUAUUCUACAACAGGAUAAAAAAGAGAAUCUAUAAUUCCAUAUUUAUAUAGUAAUUCUUUCCUAUCAGUGUGCUUCCAAAUGUCAUGAAACUGGGUGAGAAAAAUCUUUACAAUCUUUGCUUUUUAAAAAUAAUAAUAAUAAAAAAGAAAAAGAAAAAACUAAUAUAAUUGUGAACUAUUAUUAACUCUUUCACAAUACUCAGAAAAAAAAUAAAGUCUGGCAAUGCAGAUUAAUAUAAAAUGAAUCUUGGUAUGUCUCUGUUGAAAUCAUUACAAUUACAUCAUCAUCAUCAUCAUCAUCCAUAUUUCACCGUCUCCUAAUCAUCAAUAAGUUAAAAUGCUGGAAGGCUGUCAUCCGUUCACUGUCUCCGUCAAGUGCUUCCUCCCUCCCAGCACUCACGACAGGUCAUACAAAACAGUAAAAAGUCACUAACUCUCUAACUUAACCAAGAAGUCUCAGGCCUAUAUUUUCAAACAUUUCCGAGCUCACACACAUUUGUUUAGGUUUUGGUAGAGGCCGUUGUGGGUAUUUCCAUGGAGUGUUUUAUGAGCCUGGCUAUAGUUUGACAAGGCUUUGGUGGAGGUUGUUGUGUUAGUAUUUCCAAGGGCAGUUUCAUGAGCCUAGUGAUGGUUUGACAAGGCUUUGGUGGAGGUUGUUGUGUUAGUAUUUCCAAGGGCAG
Molecule: long non-coding RNA, 1286 nt
Organism: Eriocheir sinensis (Chinese mitten crab)
Lineage: Eukaryota; Metazoa; Arthropoda; Malacostraca; Decapoda; Varunidae
Exons: 2
Source: RefSeq, a predicted model, not a curated record